GAUGAACGCUGGCGGCGUGCCUAAUACAUGCAAGUCGAGCGAACAGACGAGGAGCUUGCUCCGCUGACGUUAGCGGCGGACGGGUGAGGAACACGUGGAUAACCGACCUAUAAGACUGGGAUAACGUCGGGAAACCGGAGCUAAUACCGGAUAACAUGGUGAACGGGAGGGUUCAACAGUGAAAGAGGGUUUUGCUGUGCCUUAGAGAUGGAACCGGGUCGCAUUAGCUAGUUGGUAAGGUAACGGCUUACCAAGGCAACGAUGCGUAGCCGACCUGAGAGGGUGAUCAGUCACACUGGAACUGAGACACGGUCCAGACUCCUACGGGAGGCAGCAGUGGGGAAUAUUGCGCAAUGGGCGAAAGCCUGACGGAGCCAUGCCGCGUGAGUGAAGAAGGUCUUCGGAUCGUAAAACUCUGUUAUUAGGGAAGAACAACUGUGUGAGUAACUCUGCCCGUCUUGACGGUACCUACUGAGAAAGCCCCGGCUAACUACGUG
This 497-nucleotide ribosomal RNA is filed under the name uncultured bacterium. RNAcentral's name for it is "partial 16S ribosomal RNA". It matches the Rfam family "Bacterial small subunit ribosomal RNA", at positions 28 to 507 of the family's 1533-position model. The record is from RNAcentral.